CGUAGAUUGUUUCUAAAGCACCUAAAGAGAACCAUCCGCAGGCUCGACAUACAUUCGUCACAAUUGACACGAUUGACCCGCAGAGGUUCUCAACGUGUACCGUCCAACGAACCGGUUUGACCGGGUCCAACAAGUACAUUCCAAAGAUCAGUACGCACGAGUGUUCUCCAACGCCGCGGAACGUCUCGUGAUCAUGAUUCGAGGGCUUCCUCCUGAUGAUUUAUAAUAUACAACAGUAGAGGAAGACGGAUAUCGUAACUGUCGAGAUACAUAGAUGGUCGACGAAAAGCGUGCAGUAUCGCGUUGCUGUUCUGAAGCAGAAGUUACAACUGUUGCAUCACGUUGCACAUCUGGUCCGUGAACCGCUUCUGCUACGGUGAAGAGGACGAGGGAACAUUAGCAUAUGCAGCCACGUAGGUAGGCAGGAACUCGCCUUGCGUUUGCCUGUUGAAAGAAACAUUUAGACUUCGUCGUCAUUAAAAUUGUAAAUGUUAAUAACAAUGCAUUCGAUAUUAUUACAAAUAUUUAUCAAAUUCUAAAAACGUUUAAACAUCCGUCCGAUACAUAAAUGUAAAAUGUAUCACCUACGAUCUUAUAUUAUGAACUCAAAAUGAAAUAUUUUUUGGAUUUUCUUUAAACUUUACGAUUUAUUUACUUACGUUAUCAAUACAUUUUCGACUUUUGAAUAACGACAUAACCAUAAAAAGAGAUAAUAUAAAUAAAAGGGAUGACGUAUUAUUCGCAUGAAACUCGACGAGAACGGAAGCAGGAUGCGGGCUAACGGAAUUGAUUCUUCUGUGAUUUCAUUAGUUCUGAUGCAUUUAAAUUCAUGAUUCAAGUGAGUGAUUAGCGAGCAUUAAAAUUUACGAUGACUUAAAGCUCGUAUGUACAUAAGUAUGUACAUACGUAUGGAUGUUUGUUGUAUGUAUGUAUGUAUGUAUGUAUGUAUGCCUAUCUCUGUAAGUAACGUUAGUCAUCGUCGUUCUGUAGUACUGCGAUCAUCAGUAAGUAGUAUAUGGUAUGUUAAAAAGAAAAAGAAAAAUAAAGAGACUUAUGGAACAGGAGAAAGCAAAACCACGGAGCCAGUGUUCGUUUUUGCUGGACGUGAAUUCAAGGAGACUAAAGAGAAAAAAAAGAGAAAAGACAGAGGUCAAGAGAGAGAGAGAGAGAGAGAGAGAGAGAGAGAGAGAGAGAGAGAGAGAGAGAGAGAGAGAGAGAGAAAAAGAGAAAGAGAGAGAAGGAAUUUAGGACGUUCCAAAUGGAACUUUUAAAAGGAUUUUCCUUGAAGGAUCUUUGAGCGAGGUUGUACAUGAGAUCUGUAAAGUAUUUUAUCUACAAAGCAAUUACAAAACCUUUAAUAGUA
This is a long non-coding RNA of Vespula vulgaris, 1363 nucleotides long. RefSeq lists it as uncharacterized. Lineage: Eukaryota; Metazoa; Arthropoda; Insecta; Hymenoptera; Vespidae. The transcript is spliced from 2 exons. The record is from RefSeq and is a predicted model, not a curated record.